CAUUCCAGUGAGGAAGAAAGAGUCACUGGAGUCUUGGUUUUGCUUUUCUUUUGGUCUUUUCUUCCUCUGAGUAAGAUAUAUACACGCCGUGCUUCCUAGACGAUGGGACAGCUCCGCACUCUUGACUGGCCUGGUCUCGACCCAGCCUUCUGUGAUUCGCAGUGACAGCCAGAACAGGCGGACUUUUCUUUUCUAUGCUGUAAAAUUGCAUUUCAAGGAUCAACACAGAGAAUUGGCCAGAAAGGGAAAGCAAAUGUGGAGAGGGAAAAAUGAAUGUUAUCUGGAGUUUUCAAACAGCAGGAGCACCGCCAACUGGUUUGUGAGGAAAAGCAUCUGCUGGUAGGGUUCCCCUCCCUCCACCCUCCCCAGUUACACUCAGCGAGCCAGUUCCGAGGGAAGGAUUACAACUGCCUGAGUGGUUGAAAAACAGGGAAAAGCCUCAGGCCUGUCUAAGAGACUCCCAAAGCAGACAAUCCAUUGCUGUUGCCCUUGGAUCCCCACCCCGAGGUGGAAGGUAAGUCCCUAUUGAUGAAGACGCUCUGCACUUUAGAAACAGGCCCCAGAGACUGCUGAGCAGGAGCUGACCUGAAAACCCCUCACUGAGAACUAGCUUUUAUGGCAGUGGAAAGCAUCAUGCAAGUUCCCAGAGGAGGAAGGCAACCAACAGUCCUACCCAGAUAUGGUGCCUAUGACCAGCAUCAGUGACCAGCAUGGCGCAAUAACCCUACAGGUCCCAUUCAUUUUGCAUGCCUUUGUAUCUGCCCUCUACUAUUGCAACCUCCCCCAAAAAAAUAAAAAAUAAGAGAGAAUUUAAGCGAGAAAAGAAAAACAAAAGGAAGAA
Long non-coding RNA from Mesocricetus auratus (golden hamster), 841 nucleotides. RefSeq lists it as uncharacterized. The record is from RefSeq and is a predicted model, not a curated record. NCBI's taxonomy places the organism in Eukaryota, Metazoa, Chordata, Mammalia, Rodentia, Cricetidae. The transcript has 3 exons.